This 108-nucleotide non-coding RNA is filed under the name Novosphingobium sp. RNAcentral describes it as "SAM-I-IV sequence". It matches the Rfam family "SAM-I/IV (S-adenosyl methionine) riboswitch aptamer". Rfam says of the family: It is found upstream of a number of genes which code for proteins involved in methionine or cysteine biosynthesis. It has been found mostly in the order Actinomycetales. Lineage: Bacteria; Pseudomonadati; Pseudomonadota; Alphaproteobacteria; Sphingomonadales; Sphingomonadaceae. The record is from RNAcentral.
GCUCCGCAUCAAGAGUUGGGGUAGACGCCCCGACGCCAACCUGCCGAUCCGGGCAAGGUGGCGCUCCGCAAGGAGGAUGUGGCCGAUCCGGCAACCAAACGGACACGG